CGUCAGCUCGUGUUGUGAAAUGUUGGGUUAGUCCCGCAACGAGCGCAACCCUUAUCCUUUGUUGCCAGCACGUUAUGGUGGGAACUCAAAGGAGACUGCGGGUGAUAAACCGGAGGAAGGUGGGGAUGACGUCAAGUCAUCAUGGCCCUUACGAGUAGGGCUACACACGUGCUACAAUGGCAGAUACAAAGAGAAGCGACCUCGCGAGAGCAAGCGGAACUCAUAAAGUCUGUCGUAGUCCGGAUUGGAGUCUGCA
This 256-nucleotide ribosomal RNA is filed under the name Shigella sp. FC1967. Its description in RNAcentral is "partial 16S ribosomal RNA". It matches the Rfam family "Bacterial small subunit ribosomal RNA", at positions 1053 to 1309 of the family's 1533-position model. The record is from RNAcentral. Lineage: Bacteria; Pseudomonadati; Pseudomonadota; Gammaproteobacteria; Enterobacterales; Enterobacteriaceae.